RNAcentral lists this ribosomal RNA (805 nucleotides) under uncultured marine Syndiniales. RNAcentral's name for it is "SSU rRNA". It matches the Rfam family "Eukaryotic small subunit ribosomal RNA", at positions 60 to 873 of the family's 1831-position model. Lineage: Eukaryota; Dinophyceae; Syndiniales. The record is from RNAcentral.
UCAGUAUAAGUCUUUACACGUCGAAACUGCGAAUGGCUCAUUAAAACAGUUAUAGUUUAUUUGAUGGUCACUCGUUAUUUGGAUAACUGUGGUAAUUCUAGAGCUAAUACAUGCAUAAAAACGCGACUUCUCGGAAGCGUUGUAUUUAUUAGAUACAGAACCAAUCGGGCAACCGUUUUUGGAUGAUUCAUAAUAAAUGUACGGAGCGCAUGGCUUGUGCCGGCACUGUGUCAUUCAAGUUUCUGACCUAUCAGCUUUCGACGGUAGGGUAUUGGCCUACCGUGGCAUUGACGGGUAACGGAGAAUUAGGGUUCGAUUCCGGAGAGGGAGCCCGAGAAACGGCUACCACAUCUAAGGAAGGCAGCAGGCGCGCAAAUUACCCAAUCACGACACGUGGAGGUAGUGACAAGAAAUAACAAAGCAAGCCUGUAUUCAGGUUUUGCUAUUGGAAUGAGUAGAAUUUAAAUCUCUUUACGACUAUCAAUUGGAGGGCAAGUCUGGUGCCAGCAGCCGCGGUAAUUCCAGCUCCAAUAGCGUAUAUUAAAGUUGUUGCGGUUAAAAAGCUCGUAGUUGGAUUUCUGUUGAGGACGUCCGGUCCGCACUAUGUGCGUGUAUCUGGUUCGGCCUUGGCAUCCUCUUGAGGAACGUUUCUGCGCUUGAUUGCGUGGGGCGGUAUUCAAGACUUUUACUUUGAGGAAAUUAGAGUGUUCACGGCAGGCAAGCGCCUUGAAUACAUUAGCAUGGAAUAAUAAUAUAGGAUCUUGGUUCUAUUUUGUUGGUUUCUAGAGCUAAGAUAAUGAUUAAU